Molecule: ribosomal RNA, 301 nt
Filed under: uncultured bacterium
Lineage: Bacteria
Description: partial 16S ribosomal RNA
Rfam family: Bacterial small subunit ribosomal RNA
Source: RNAcentral
CAGCAGCCGCGGUAAUACGAAGGGGGCUAGCGUUGUUCGGAAUCACUGGGCGUAAAGGGUGCGUAGGCGGAUUCUUAAGUCAGGGGUGAAAUCCCGAGGCUCAACCUCGGAACUGCCUUUGAUACUGGGGAUCUUGAGUCCGGAAGAGGUGAGUGGAACUGCGAGUGUAGAGGUGAAAUUCGUAGAUAUUCGCAAGAACACCGGUGGCGAAGGCGGCUCACUGGUCCGGAACUGACGCUGAGGCACGACAGCGUGGGGAGCAAACAGGAUUAGAUACCCCCGUAGUCCCUGUCUCUUAUAC